GGUCUCUUAGUUUAGUGGUAGAACGCAAGACUACGAUUCCAGCGGGUUUACCCGCGUAUCGAUUUGUCAUCUUGAGGUCGCGGUUUCGAUCACCGCAGAGACUU
This 104-nucleotide transfer RNA is filed under the name Saitozyma sp. JCM 24511. It matches the Rfam family "tRNA". From Rfam's summary of the family: Transfer RNA (tRNA) molecules are approximately 80 nucleotides in length. Their secondary structure includes four short double-helical elements and three loops (D, anti-codon, and T loops). Lineage: Eukaryota; Fungi; Basidiomycota; Tremellomycetes; Tremellales; Trimorphomycetaceae. The record is from Rfam by way of RNAcentral.